UUUUAUUACAUUUACUGUAAUCAUUCGUACACAUUGAAAUCCAUAUAGUUUGAACUGAUUUACUAAAUAUAAUACCUCUAUAUUAUUACUGGUCCUCAGUCCUCUAAUAAGUGCCUGUACAGUGUACAGUCAUAUUGAUCAUUUAUAGAAAUAGAGAGCUGAGCUGUCCCAAUUGCCCAUGCUAAUACACGUGGGUAAACUUUAUGCUCCACCCUCCAGCCACUCCUAACAACAGUGUAGAUAUUUUAAAUGGAUGUGAACCUCGAUGCAUAUAUGAGCUGUACACGCUAAAACCUUUGAAAGGAUUUCUCACUGGAUGACUGGAACAGCGCAGUAGUCAAUAUACAGUCUAAUGUAGUGCUAAUGAAUGAAGAGAUAUGCUAGCUUUAAUACUUUAUAGAAGCAAAAUACAAUGACUCUAAAGGUCAUUAUGAUCAUUUACAUGUCUCCUUAGGAUAUUGCUGCAGUUUAUAUGAGAAUGGAUGUAGAGAGCUAAUGAAUCAAAGUUAUCAAACCAUUAUUGAGCUUUAUCUGAUCCAUCAGUACAGAAAGCAGUGGCACUACAGUAAUAAUGGUAGAUGCUUGUUUAUCAUGUUUUAGUUUAA
Long non-coding RNA from Amphimedon queenslandica, 605 nucleotides. RefSeq lists it as uncharacterized. The transcript is spliced from 3 exons. The record is from RefSeq and is a predicted model, not a curated record. Lineage: Eukaryota; Metazoa; Porifera; Demospongiae; Haplosclerida; Niphatidae.